RNAcentral lists this ribosomal RNA (457 nucleotides) under Salmonella enterica subsp. enterica serovar Typhimurium. RNAcentral describes it as "partial 23S ribosomal RNA". It matches the Rfam family "Bacterial large subunit ribosomal RNA", at positions 63 to 559 of the family's 2925-position model. Lineage: Bacteria; Pseudomonadati; Pseudomonadota; Gammaproteobacteria; Enterobacterales; Enterobacteriaceae. The record is from RNAcentral.
AAUCUGCGAUAAGCGCCGGUAAGGUGAUAUGAACCGUUAUAACCGGCGAUUUCCGAAUGGGGAAACCCAGUGUGAUUCGUCACACUAUCAUUAACUGAAUCCAUAGGUUAAUGAGGCGAACCGGGGGAACUGAAACAUCUAAGUACCCCGAGGAAAAGAAAUCAACCGAGAUUCCCCCAGUAGCGGCGAGCGAACGGGGAGGAGCCCAGAGCCUGAAUCAGCAUGUGUGUUAGUGGAAGCGUCUGGAAAGGCGCGCGAUACAGGGUGACAGCCCCGUACACAAAAGCGCAUGUGCUGUGAGCUCGAUGAGUAGGGCGGGACACGUGGUAUCCUGUCUGAAUAUGGGGGGACCAUCCUCCAAGGCUAAAUACUCCUGACUGACCGAUAGUGAACCAGUACCGUGAGGGAAAGGCGAAAAGAACCCCGGCGAGGGGAGUGAAAAAGAACCUGAAACCGU